RNAcentral lists this ribosomal RNA (468 nucleotides) under uncultured bacterium. RNAcentral describes it as "partial 16S ribosomal RNA". It matches the Rfam family "Bacterial small subunit ribosomal RNA", at positions 28 to 507 of the family's 1533-position model. The record is from RNAcentral.
GACGAACGCUGGCGGCGUGCUUAACACAUGCAAGUCGAACGGUGAUGCUCCAGCUUGCUGGAGUGGAUCAGUGGCGAACGGGUGAGUAACACGUGAGCAACCUGCCCCAGACUCUGGAAUAAGCGCUGGAAACGGCGUCUAAUACUGGAUACGAAACUGGCCCGCAUGGGCAUGGUUUGGAAAGUUUUUCGGUUUGGGAUGGGCUCGCGGCCUAUCAGCUUGUUGGUGAGGUAAUGGCUCACCAAGGCGACGACGGGUAGCCGGCCUGAGAGGGCGACCGGCCACACUGGGACUCAGACACGGCCCAGACUCCUACGGGAGGCAGCAGUGGGGAAUAUUGCACAAUGGGCGAAAGCCUGAUGCAGCGACGCCGCGUGAGGGAUGACGGCCUUCGGGUUGUAAACCUCUUUCAGCAGGGAAGAAGCGAAAGUGACGGUACCUGCAGAAGAAGCACCGGCUAACUACGUG